GGAGCUGGACCAACCAAAAGUAGGGCUUCAGCACCAAGGCCAAGGCCCUCACAGCCCUCUAGGGUCUGGCUGCUUGGGCGCCACCUAGUGGCGGGAGUGUGUGCGGCGGGACAGGGCAAGAAGGGCGGUUCCCUCGCACUUCUGAAGAUCUAGGGUGGGCUCAGCAAGCUAGAAAAGACACAACCCAGUGGGACCUGUGUCUAAUUCCCAGUGAGACCUUGAGCAAGCCAUGUCUUUCUGUUUCUGUUUUCUCAUUGGUAAGGGGAGAGAGUUCAUCACAGUCAAGAGGUAGUAGCGCUGAAACCGGUUUGGCUCAGCGGAUAGAGCGUCAGCCUG
This is a long non-coding RNA of Pipistrellus kuhlii (Kuhl's pipistrelle), 336 nucleotides long. RefSeq lists it as uncharacterized. NCBI's taxonomy places the organism in Eukaryota, Metazoa, Chordata, Mammalia, Chiroptera, Vespertilionidae. The transcript has 3 exons. The record is from RefSeq and is a predicted model, not a curated record.